This 859-nucleotide ribosomal RNA is filed under the name Lichtheimia ramosa. RNAcentral describes it as "eukaryotic LSU rRNA". The stretch from base 365 to 518 matches the Rfam family "5.8S ribosomal RNA". The record is from RNAcentral. Lineage: Eukaryota; Fungi; Mucoromycota; Mucoromycetes; Mucorales; Lichtheimiaceae.
CAUCCGUAGGUGAACCUGCGGAAGGAUCAUUACUGAGAGGUCUAAAAAACCACUAGUUGGGGGUCUCUUCCCCUCUAGUAGUUCCUCACAGUUUUGUGCAAAGUCGGGUCAACUUGGUUGGCUCUGCCUUGUGCUGUAGAUCUGGUUGUUGGCAUAGAGACCCUCCUUUUAGGAGACUUGUGCCACUACUAAGAUCUAGGCUGCUUGAAAAGAGACGUAUGGACCCUUCUUUCAGGAGACCUAUGUCUCGAGUCAAAGCAAGCAAGGCAAGCCUUUGGGGCUCUAGUACUAACUAUCCCCAAAGGUGUUUAUUCUUCUCGUGUAAACCAUGAUGUACGAAAAAGUUAGUUGUUAACUUAAAAACAACUCUUGGCAAUGGAUCUCUUGGUUCUCGCAUCGAUGAAGAGCGUAGCAAAGUGCGAUAAUUAUUGCGACUUGCAUUCAUAGCGAAUCAUCGAGUUCUCGAACGCAUCUUGCGCCUAGUAGUCAAUCUACUAGGCACAGUUGUUUCAGUAUCUGCAACUACCAAUCAGUUCAACUUGGUUCUUUGAACCUAAGCGAGCUGGAAAUGGGCUUGUGUUGAUGGCAUUCAGUUGCUGUCAUGGCCUUAAAUACAUUUAGUCCUAGGCAAUUGGCUUUAGUCAUUUGCCGGAUGUAGACUCUAGAGUGCCUGAGGAGCAACGACUUGGUUAGUGAGUUCAUAAUUCCAAGUCAAUCAGUCUCUUCUUGAACUAGGUCUUAAUCUUUACGGACUAGCGAGAGGAUCUAACUUGGGUCUUCUCUUAAACAAACUCACAUCUAGAUCUGAAAUCAACUGAGAUCACCCGCUGAACUUAAGCAUAUCAAUAAGCGGAGGUGC